CAAGGUGAAUACAGACACAGGGCACCUACUCCAGAAUGCCCUCAGGCUGAUGGGGAGAGGUGGCUGUAGGAGUGUAGGGACAGAACAUCUAGCAAACUAUUCUACAGUUCUACUUUAAGGAAAAGGGGAGGAGCUCAGAGAAGGCCGCCCCUGCUCCCCCGGCAAACAUCUGGUCUCCCUUGCUUCGUCCCGCACCCCCACCCCGCCGCUCGCAACACGCGUGGAAAGGGCGAGUUGGGAGAGAGGCAGCGCUCGCGGAGAGCCCCUCGGGCCGGGCGCUCAUUCAUUCACCGGCUGGAAGGCGGCGCGGCCGGGGCCGCGGGACCGGAGGGAGGCAAGCAGGGAGGCCGGCCAGUUUCAGAAUCGCCACCAUCACACCCACAAAGUUUAAGCUGUGCCACAGCCAGUACCAUGAUAACUCGGCAUAGUUUUCCUGACUUGGAGCCACUUGAAGUCUUGUAUCCGGUGUGGCUGACACUCUUUCGCAGUUUGACACUAGUUAGUGUUCUUGGGUUUCAUGUUAACCUUUCCUGAUCUCAUCGAUGAAAUGAUUACCCGGCUGCAAUCAACCCAGUGAUUUUUCAAGAGUCCAAGUAUUACAGCCUCUGCUUUGGAGGAAAAUAACUGAAAAUAUUAAGGCCAAACCACGAGUAACCCACAUUAAAUACAUUUACAUACCGUGGAAAAGCAUUUAAAAUCUAGAUAAAAUAUACAUGAAAAGUAGAUAUUAUGAGUAAGUGAGAUAUGAAAAUUGAAGAAUGUUAAGGUAUUUUUAGUCCACAACAUGAAGUAGACUUAUAAUUAGAAGUUAACUGACUCCUGCAGGGAAGAGGGAGGAAAGGUGCUUGCUCUUCUUGAAAUACCUCCAGAGGUGGUGACCAAGGCAUUGGGUUCCAAAGCCUCACACAUAAGAUGAGGACAUUGCUGGUUCAGGCCUCAGGGUGUCCUGCUAUUCUCAAUGUUUUGCUUUUUAAGUGCUUGGUGGACCUUAGAGAAAGUCAUUUUGACGACAUUUGAUGUAAUUCAACGAUGUGAUUAAUAGCACACAUUUCAAGUUUGGCAAGAGGAAUUGAAAUAUUUCAAAAGAAAACUUCUAAAUUACUCACAGUAAAAUUUCUGGAAUAUCAUUUCUUUUUGAAUGUCUUUGAACCAGACUGCCAGAGGGCCAGUUUAAUCAGCUGUUUUUUUUUUUUUUAAAAACUUCAGGUGCUCCACAUGAGGUUUGAAAAUUAAACUGCUGAAUCCUUUCUCGAUUACAUAACUUGCUCCUGACUUAAGGAGUGGAAAUUAUCAGCUACCUUAGGUACUCUUGUGGCAAUUUUACACUUUAAUAAACAUUUCCACCACCAGUUUAUACUGUUGGUAGAAAAUGGGGAGGGGGGAGAUUGAUGGUAAAAACAGUCUUUAAUUGUCUUAUUUGUUAUCUUUAAUAAUCAAAAAUGUUCACUAAUGAAACACACUUCAGAAUGAGCUAGAAAGUAAUGAUUGUGCUCUUAUGCGUCAUCCCAGUAAACCUUUGAAAUUGUCAGUUAUGAAGCAAUAAGUCAUGGAUCAGAAAUGGGUUGGAAACUAUGGCAGCCAGUUAUAGACUAAUCCAGAUAGCUUUCUGGGCCCAUGCCAAAUACCCUUUUGAUUACAUCCUCUGUUUUGUAUGCAUGUAGUGGUAACGAAAUUCUCUGCAAGAAGAAAGAUCUGUGUUAUCUUAAAGUGACUUCUAUACAGUCUAACAACAAAAUGUUUCAGUUACGUGCCCAGGGAAGCUGUGUAUUAACUUUUAAAAAGGACCUAAUUGAAUCAAACAAAAGCAGUAGUUGUAACAAUAUUUGCACAGGAAUAGAACCAUACAAGGAAUAUUCCAGCCAUUUCACUAAUCAUUUAGCUCCAAAUAUCCUGGGCACCCCCCCACCCCCGGUCCUUUCUAGGACAUGUUUUACAUUCAGAUGACAUGGAUUAGGGGCUUUCUUUAAAUGACGAAUUUGAAGAUAAAUUCUUGCAGAGCAAGUUUGUUUAGUUCUGAUUGUAGAAGAGUCCCUGAAUUCAGGACCAUCCAAGAGAAGCCAGAUGAAAGACUAAAGUAAUCUUCCUGGAACAGCUCAGCCCAUCUCCCUACCUGGCCCUGGGUUGCCAGCCUCUCUGCAGGAAAUCUCACAGUUGUGCACAUGCUGCUGCUGAAAAUGCAAGGCUUCUAAACUCACAAGAACCUCAGGGCUACCUGGAGUCUCCAUGCAGGUCCUUAGCAUCCAUAAGCCCUAUCUCA
Canis lupus familiaris (dog) is the source of this 2257-nucleotide long non-coding RNA. RefSeq lists it as uncharacterized. NCBI's taxonomy places the organism in Eukaryota, Metazoa, Chordata, Mammalia, Carnivora, Canidae. The transcript is spliced from 3 exons. The record is from RefSeq and is a predicted model, not a curated record.